This 468-nucleotide ribosomal RNA is filed under the name uncultured bacterium. RNAcentral's name for it is "partial 16S ribosomal RNA". It matches the Rfam family "Bacterial small subunit ribosomal RNA", at positions 28 to 507 of the family's 1533-position model. The record is from RNAcentral.
GACGAACGCUGGCGGCGUGCUUAACACAUGCAAGUCGAACGGAAAGGCCCUGCUUUUGUGGGGUGCUCGAGUGGCGAACGGGUGAGUAACACGUGAGUAACCUGCCCUUGACUUUGGGAUAACUUCAGGAAACUGGGGCUAAUACCGGAUAGGAGCUCCUGCUGCAUGGUGGGGGUUGGAAAGUUUCGGCGGUUGGGGAUGGACUCGCGGCUUAUCAGCUUGUUGGUGGGGUAGUGGCUUACCAAGGGUUUGACGGGUAGCCGGCCUGAGAGGGUGACCGGCCACCAUGGGACUGCGAGACGGACCAGAAGCCUACGGGAGGCAGCAGUGGGGAGUAUUGCACAAUGGGCGGAAGCCUGAUGCAGAAACGCCGCGUGCGGGAUGACGGCCUUCGGGUUGUAAACCGCUGUCGCCUGUGACGAGGCGUGAGUGACGGUAAUGGGUAAAGAAGCACCGGCUAACUACGUG